UACGAGGGGGGCAAGCGUUGUUCGGAAUUAUUGGGCGUAAAGGGCGCGUAGGCGGUGUCGCAAGUCCGUGGUGAAAUCUCUAGGCUCAACUUAGAGACUGCCGCGGAAACUGCGGUGCUUGAGUGUAGGAGAGGGAAGUGGAAUUUCCGGUGUAGUGGUGAAAUACGUAGAUAUCGGAAGGAACACCAGUGGCGAAGGCGACUCUUUGGCCUGUAACUGACGCUGAGGCGCGAAAGCGUGGGGAGCAAACAGG
Molecule: ribosomal RNA, 253 nt
Filed under: uncultured bacterium
Lineage: Bacteria
Description: partial 16S ribosomal RNA
Rfam family: Bacterial small subunit ribosomal RNA
Source: RNAcentral